UACGUAGGGUGCGAGCGUUAAUCGGAAUUACUGGGCGUAAAGCGUGCGCAGGCGGUUUGCUAAGACAGGUGUGAAAUCCCCGGGCUUAACCUGGGAACUGCGCUUGUGACUGGCAGGCUAGAGUACGGCAGAGGGGGGUGGAAUUCCUGGUGUAGCAGUGAAAUGAGUAGAUAUCAGGAGGAACACCGAUGGCGAAGGCAGCCCCCUGGGCCUGUACUGACGCUCAUGCACGAAAGCGUGGGGAGCAAACAGGAUUAGA
RNAcentral lists this ribosomal RNA (259 nucleotides) under uncultured prokaryote. Its description in RNAcentral is "partial 16S ribosomal RNA". It matches the Rfam family "Bacterial small subunit ribosomal RNA", at positions 524 to 782 of the family's 1533-position model. The record is from RNAcentral.